Molecule: ribosomal RNA, 446 nt
Filed under: uncultured bacterium
Lineage: Bacteria
Description: partial 16S ribosomal RNA
Rfam family: Bacterial small subunit ribosomal RNA
Source: RNAcentral
CCUACGGGAGGCAGCAGUCGAGAAUCAUUCACAAUGGGGGAAACCCUGAUGGUGCGACGCCGCGUGGGGGAAUGAAGGUCUUCGGAUUGUAAACCCCUGUCAUGUGGGAGCAAAUUAAAAAGAUAGUACCACAAGAGGAAGAGACGGCUAACUCUGUGCCAGCAGCCGCGGUAAUACAGAGGUCUCAAGCGUUGUUCGGAAUCACUGGGCGUAAGGCGUGCGUAGGCUGUUUCGUAAGUCGUGUGUGAAAGGCGCGGGCUCAACCCGCGGACGGCACAUGAUACUGCGAGACUAGAGUAAUGGAGGGGGAACCGGAAUUCUCGGUGUAGCAGUGAAAUGCGUAGAUAUCGAGAGGAACACUCGUGGCGAAGGCGGGUUCCUGGACAUUAACUGACGCUGAGGCACGAAGGCCAGGGGGGCGAAAGGGAUUAGAUACCCCGGUAGUC